CAGUCGCCGCGGGAAUACGUAGGUGGCAAGCGUUGUCCGGAACUAUUGGGCGUAAAGGGCUCGCAGGCGGUUUCUUAAGUCUGAUGUGAAAGCCCCCGGCUCAACCGGGGAGGGUCAUUGGAAACUGGGAAACUUGAGUGCAGAAGAGGAGAGUGGAAUUCCACGUGUAGCGGUGAAAUGCGUAGAGGUGUGGAGGAACACCAGUGGCGAAGGCGACUCUCUGGUCUGUAACUGACGCUGAGGAGCGAAAGCGUGGGGAGCGAACAGGAUUAGAUACCCGCGUAGUCCCUGUCUCUUAUAC
This 301-nucleotide ribosomal RNA is filed under the name uncultured bacterium. RNAcentral's name for it is "partial 16S ribosomal RNA". It matches the Rfam family "Bacterial small subunit ribosomal RNA", at positions 509 to 807 of the family's 1533-position model. The record is from RNAcentral.